Molecule: ribosomal RNA, 422 nt
Filed under: uncultured bacterium
Lineage: Bacteria
Description: bacterial SSU rRNA
Rfam family: Bacterial small subunit ribosomal RNA
Source: RNAcentral
UAAGGAAUAUUGGACAAUGGAGGCAACUCUGAUCCAGCCAUGCCGCGUGAAGGAAUAAGGCCCUAGGGGUUGUAAACUUCUUUUAGACGGGACAAAACCCCUUUACGUGUAAAGGGUUGAUGGUACUGUCAGAAUAAGCAUCGGCUAACUUCGUGCCAGCAGCCGCGGUAAUACGAAGGAUGCAAGCGUUAUCCGGAAUUAUUGGGUUUAAAGGGUGCGUAGGCGGACUAAUAAGUCAGUGGUGAAAGCCUGCAGCUUAACUGCAGAAUUGCCAUUGAUACUGUUAGUCUUGAGUACAGUUGAGGUAGGCGGAAUGUGUCAUGUAGCGGUGAAAUGCUUAGAUAUGACACAGAACACCGAUUGCGAAGGCAGCUUGCUAAGCUGUAACUGACGCUGAGGCACGAAAGCGUGGGGAGCAAACA